GGGGUACGCAAUAGAAUUACCUCCACGUGGUGCACCCUGGGCAACGUAUACUUAUACGGCAUAAAAGUCUAU
Molecule: ribozyme, 72 nt
Filed under: Rodentolepis nana
Lineage: Eukaryota; Metazoa; Platyhelminthes; Cestoda; Cyclophyllidea; Hymenolepididae
Description: Hymenolepis nana HDV ribozyme from F. prausnitzii
Rfam family: HDV ribozyme from F. prausnitzii
Source: Rfam by way of RNAcentral